AAGUAUCUUUCUUCCUCUGAACUCGACUCCGGAAGGCCUGAGUUUAAUGAGGUUGUGGUUUCUGGUGUGUUUUUUUUAAAGAGGACGUGAUGCAAAUUCAGUGUCUCGGGGUCCUGCAUAAAUACUGUGUUCUCCUGGACGGCACACUAUGAAAAGGGAGCAGGCCAAGGUCCUGGUGUCUUUGCAGUUACCCUCAGAAACCCCUCCAACACCAGCAACAUGAUAUCGUGGCUGAAUCUUCUCUUUGCUCUAGCCGCCCUUCCAGAUGUCCGGUCCCAGGUUCUUCUGGUGGAGUCCGGAGGUGGAAUUCAAAAGCCCGGGGGAUCUCUCCGCCUCUCCUGCAAAGCCUCCGGUUUCACCCUCAGCAGCUACUUCAUGAGCUGGGUCCGUCAGGCACCCGGGAAGGGCCUGGAGUGGGUCUCACGGAUAUACAACCCUGCUAAUAGCCUCAGUACGUUUUACAGUGAUGCGGUUAAAGGGCGAUUCACCAUCUCCAGAGACGACUCCAACAGCCUGGUGUAUCUGCAGAUGAACAGCCUGAAAGCGGAAGACACCGCCCGGUAUUACUGUGCGAGAGACACAGUGAUCAGAAAUCAACUGCAGUGAAUACAAAAACCUCUUCCUCAAAUCCAAACAGCUCUCGGCGCCAGCAGACAGCAGCAGGCACUGACACAGCAGAGCAGUUUAGACACAGAUACAUAGAUUGUAAAGUCUCCAGCCCUUCAUCGGGGCUUCCGUCCUCUGAAAACGCACAUUGGCAAUUAAAGACUCACUAUGUUGACAGAAUAGAGAGAAUCUUAUUUAGUGGCUGGCAAUGCAGAAAUAGAAUCAGCCUCGGUUACUAUGAAUAAUUAGCUUUCUGCCCUUCAACCUGCCUUGUGAACAGAACUACGAGGAAGAAAUGCCAGAGACAUUAUAUAGAGUCUGUUUGCCAGAAGCUGGGAAUGGGCGACAGGGGAUGGAUCACUCUGUGAUUCCCUGAUCUGUUCAUUCCCUCUGGGGCACCUGGCACUGGCCACUGUCGGGAGACACGAUACUGGGCUAAGGGACCUUUGGUCUGGCCCAGUCUGGCUGUUUUAUGUUCUUUAGAGUCGUGGUGGACCCGCCCUAGAAUUUUGCACACCGUAAUUUUGUCACUAUCUGCACAGACCUGCAGAAGGCUGGAUGGUGCUCCUGGAGUGCAUUGUCUCUGUUGAGCGCAUUGUCUCUGUCUGCUCUUUAAUGGAUAAGCACAAGCUGGAGAAGAGCUAAGGAUGAGUU
Molecule: non-coding RNA, 1260 nt
Organism: Trachemys scripta elegans
Lineage: Eukaryota; Metazoa; Chordata; Testudines; Emydidae
Source: the annotation of a RefSeq genome assembly